RNAcentral lists this ribosomal RNA (251 nucleotides) under uncultured prokaryote. RNAcentral's name for it is "partial 16S rRNA". It matches the Rfam family "Bacterial small subunit ribosomal RNA", at positions 525 to 775 of the family's 1533-position model. The record is from RNAcentral.
ACGGAGGGAGCUAGCGUUGUUCGGAAUUACUGGGCGUAAAGCGCACGUAGGCGGCUUUGUAAGUCAGAGGUCAAAGCCUUGAGAACAAAGAAAGAACUGCCUUUGAGACUGCAUCGCUUGAAUCCAGGAGAGGUGAGUGGAAUUCCGAGUGUAGAGGUGAAAUUCGUAGAUAUUCGGAAGGACACCAUUGGCGAAGGCGGCUCACUGGACUGGUAUUGACGCUGAGGUGCGAAAACGUGGGGAGCAAACAG